GACGAACGCUGGCGGCGUGCUUAACACAUGCAAGUCGAACGAUGAAGCGGGUGCUUGCACUCGUGGAUUAGUGGCGAACGGGCGAGUAACACGUGAGUAACCUGUCCUUUUCUUUGGGAUAACGGCUGGAAACGGCUGCUAAUACUGGAUAUUCAGGCUGCAUCGCAUGGUGUGGUUUGGAAAGGUUUUUUCUGGGAUUGGGUGGGCUCGCGGCCUAUCAGCUUGUUGGUGGGGUGAUGGCUUACCAAGGCUUUGACGGGUAGCCGGCCUGAGAGGGUGGUUGGUCGCACUGGGACUGAGAUACGGCCCAGACUCCUACGGGAGGCAGCAGUGGGGAAUAUUGCACAAUGGACGAAAGUUUGAUGCAGCGACGCCGCGUGGAGGGUGUAGGCCUUCGGGUUGUGAACUCCUUUUUCUCGCGAAAAAGGCACAGUUUUGGCUGUGUUGAUGGUAGUGGGGGAAGAAGCGCCGGCUAACUACGUG
Molecule: ribosomal RNA, 483 nt
Filed under: uncultured bacterium
Lineage: Bacteria
Description: partial 16S ribosomal RNA
Rfam family: Bacterial small subunit ribosomal RNA
Source: RNAcentral